This 601-nucleotide ribosomal RNA is filed under the name uncultured bacterium. RNAcentral's name for it is "bacterial SSU rRNA". The stretch from base 1 to 518 matches the Rfam family "Bacterial small subunit ribosomal RNA", at positions 338 to 873 of the family's 1533-position model. The record is from RNAcentral.
CCUACGGGAGGCAGCAGUGGGGAAUAUUGGACAAUGGGCGAAAGCCUGAUCCAGCAAUGCCGCGUGAGUGAUGAAGGCCUUAGGGUUGUAAAGCUCUUUUACCAGGGAUGAUAAUGACAGUACCUGGAGAAUAAGCUCCGGCUAACUCCGUGCCAGCAGCCGCGGUAAUACGGAGGGAGCUAGCGUUGUUCGGAAUUACUGGGCGUAAAGCGUGCGUAGGCGGUGAUUCAAGUCAGAGGUGAAAGCCUGGAGCUCAACUCCAGAACGGCCUUUGAAACUAGAUCGCUAGAAUUAUGGAGAGGUAAGUGGAAUUCCGAGUGUAGAGGUGAAAUUCGUAGAUAUUCGGAAGAACACCAGUGGCGAAGGCGACUUACUGGACAUAUAUUGACGCUGAGGUACGAAAGCGUGGGGAGCAAACAGGAUUAGAUACCCUGGUAGUCCACGCCGUAAACGAUGAUAACUAGCUGUUCGGGCUCUCAGAGCUUGAGUGGCGCAGCUACGCAUUAAGUUAGUCCGCCGUGGGAGGUACGGUCGGCGAGAAGUUAAACUACGUUAAGAAGUAGAGGCGUGNGACGNGCGAGGACGACGACGAGGGAGGAGG